GACGAACGCUGGCGGCGUGCCUAAUACAUGCAAGUCGAACGCAGUUUCGAACGGGUGAGUAACGCGUCGGUAACUGCCUCAUAGCGGGGGAUAACUAUUGGAAACGAUAGCUAAUACCGCAUACUGUGAGAUGGACCUGCGUUGUAUUAGCUAGUUGGUGAGGUAAAGGCUCACCAAGGCGACGAUACAUAGCCGAACUGAGAGGGAGAUCGGCCAACACUGGAAUGGGACACGGGCCAGACCCCUACGGGAGGCAGCAGUAGGGGAUCUUUGGCAAAGGACGGAAGGCUGACCGAGCAAAGCCGCGGGAGUGGAGAAAGUUUUCGGAGCGUAAAGCUCUGUUGAUAGAGAAGCGGUACCUACACAGAAAGCGACGGCUAACUACGUGCCAGCAGCCGCGGUAAUUC
RNAcentral lists this ribosomal RNA (407 nucleotides) under uncultured bacterium. Its description in RNAcentral is "partial 16S ribosomal RNA". It matches the Rfam family "Bacterial small subunit ribosomal RNA", at positions 28 to 526 of the family's 1533-position model. The record is from RNAcentral.